GGGGGGAGAAGUGGGUGGAGGGGAAUUAAGGAGAAGUUUUAAGGGGUUUUUGGUAAAUUCAAGAUUUUGCUGAGGAGGAGGGGUAUUAUGGGUAUUUUUGUUUGCGGUGGCGGGGCGGCGGAGAUGGGCGGAGGAGGUGGGUUUUUCAGGGGAGUUAGAGGAGGAUUUAAGGGAGAGGGUGGUGGUGGGGGUAGGGGUGUGGGGGUGGUGUUUGAAGGGGAGGAUGGAGGUGGUGAAGGGUGGUGGAGAGGGAGAGUAGUGUGAGGUAGAGGAGAGGGACAAGAUAAUGUUGUCCAUUAUCAUCAUCAAAACCCCCUACCGUGAGUGUGUUGAGAGUUCAUGAUGUUAACACAAGCAGCUCAGGGGUAAUUUUGGUAAUUGACCUUUUAUUUUUGUAGCACUCCAUUGAUUUGCCUAAAUUUACUGUCAAAUAACUCGACCUUCGUUUUGAAUUUAAGUACAUAUGAAUUUGUCUUUCGAGUUACGCCAUACAAUUCACGGGUGUGCAUACUAUACAAACUUGAGUUUUGUCGUAUAAAGGUCUUUUACUAUUCUUUUUAUUUCGGUAUGAGAUUUGCC
Molecule: long non-coding RNA, 579 nt
Filed under: Capsicum annuum
Lineage: Eukaryota; Viridiplantae; Streptophyta; Magnoliopsida; Solanales; Solanaceae
Description: long non-coding RNA (CANN_LNC019708)
Source: RNAcentral